GGAGGGGUGCCGGAGCGGACGAACGGACUCGCCUUGAAAGCGAGCGAGGCGCGAGCCUCCGUGGGUUCGAAUCCCACCCCCUCCGCCG
Molecule: transfer RNA, 88 nt
Filed under: Actinomycetes bacterium
Lineage: Bacteria; Bacillati; Actinomycetota; Actinomycetes
Description: Actinobacteria bacterium tRNA-Ser
Rfam family: tRNA
About the family: Transfer RNA (tRNA) molecules are approximately 80 nucleotides in length. Their secondary structure includes four short double-helical elements and three loops (D, anti-codon, and T loops). Further hydrogen bonds mediate the characteristic L-shaped molecular structure. tRNAs have two regions of fundamental functional importance: the anti-codon, which is responsible for specific mRNA codon recognition, and the 3' end, to which the tRNAs corresponding amino acid is attached (by aminoacyl-tRNA synthetases). tRNAs cope with the degeneracy of the genetic code in two manners: having more than one tRNA (with a specific anti-codon) for a particular amino acid; and 'wobble' base-pairing, i.e. permitting non-standard base-pairing at the 3rd anti-codon position.
Source: RNAcentral